Molecule: ribosomal RNA, 506 nt
Filed under: uncultured bacterium
Lineage: Bacteria
Description: partial 16S ribosomal RNA
Rfam family: Bacterial small subunit ribosomal RNA
Source: RNAcentral
AUUGAACGCUGGCGGCAGGCCUAACACAUGCAAGUCGAACGGUAACAGGAAGAAGCUUGCUUCUUUGCUGACGAGUGGCGGACGGGUGAGUAAUGUCUGGGAAACUGCCUGAUGGAGGGGGAUAACUACUGGAAACGGUAGCUAAUACCGCAUAACGUCGCAAGACCAAAGAGGGGGACCUUCGGGCCUCUUGCCAUCGGAUGUGCCCAGAUGGGAUUAGCUAGUAGGUGGGGUAACGGCUCACCUAGGCGACGAUCCCUAGCUGGUCUGAGAGGAUGACCAGCCACACUGGAACUGAGACACGGUCCAGACUCCUACGGGAGGCAGCAGUGGGGAAUAUUGCACAAUGGGCGCAAGCCUGAUGCAGCCAUGCCGCGUGUAUGAAGAAGGCCUUCGGGUUGUAAAGUACUUUCAGCGGGGAGGAAGGGAGUAAAGUUAAUACCUUUGCUCAUUGACGUUACCCGCAGAAGAAGCACCGGCUAACUCCGUGCCAGCCGCCGCGGUAA